This is a long non-coding RNA of Rhododendron vialii, 801 nucleotides long. RefSeq lists it as uncharacterized. NCBI's taxonomy places the organism in Eukaryota, Viridiplantae, Streptophyta, Magnoliopsida, Ericales, Ericaceae. The record is from RefSeq and is a predicted model, not a curated record. The transcript has 2 exons.
UUUAUGGUUGUUUUCUUAAUUGUCGUUGUUAGCAUUCUCAACAUACAUCCACCUUUUCUCUGAGUAAAGGACUUAUCUGCAAUCAUACAUGUUUCGCUGGUUUUGUGCUAGAUAGCUAGAUACAAGUAGUUGGCCCAUUGGCCAUUGUUGACUUAACAUGGUAUUAGAACUACGGUGUUUGAGAGGUCUUGGACUCGCGUCUCUACAUCUGCAUUGUUUCUCGUUUCAAUUCUUGUUCUUUGUUUGCAUUCUGCAUCUUUAUGGCCAUUGAUGUUUGCAUUUCCACUUGCAAGACGGGUUUGCACCAGAAGUUGCUGGAUAGCACUUUAAGCUUUUUGUUCUCUCACUUCUCUGUUGUUAACAUGGGGGAAAAAAGUUAGAAACUAAAAUUUUCUUUUGUUUUAAUUUCUUUCUUACAUAUUGUUGUUCAUAUGCUGCUCUUUCUUGUGUCGGUUUCCUCAGGGUUCUUGGUACCAUAUUUGUUCUCUGGCAGCUUAUUUAAGAAAAUGUGAAAGAAAGGACAUAAAUGAUGUUUCCUUUCUGCUUUUUUUUUUUUUUUUGUGGUACAACGCAAAUAGCUUCCUUUCUGCUAUUGUAUGUAAAAUUUGGUUGCCAUUCUGCUAUAGUAUAUUGUUUCCUGUUGCAUAAUGAAGAUCCUGAGUAGUGUGUGAUGUCAACAUUCAUACUCUGUAACAUGUAUUGAAAAAUAAGUCCUACGAAAAGUAUAUCCUACUUUGUUUACUCUACUCUUUGGUCUUCCUCGCAUUUUUUCCUUUUCCUAUAUUUUGCCCAACACUUGCC